CACGUAGUUAGCCGGCGCUUCUUCUGCAGGUACCGUCACUUGUGGCUUCUUCCCUGCUGAAAGAGGUUUACAACCCGAAGGCCGUCAUCCCUCACGCGGCGUCGCUGCAUCAGGCUUUCGCCCAUUGUGCAAUAUUCCCCACUGCUGCCUCCCGUAGGAGUCUGGGCCGUGUCUCAGUCCCAGUGUGGCCGGUCACCCUCUCAGGCCGGCUACCCGUCGUCGCCUUGGUGAGCCAUUACCUCACCAACAAGCUGAUAGGCCGUGAGCCCAUCCAAGACCAGUAAACCCUUUCCACACACCACCAUGCGGUGACAUGUAGCAUCCAGUAUUAGACCCAGUUUCCCGGGCUUAUCCCAGAGUCAAGGGCAGGUUACUCACGUAUUACUCACCCGUUCGCCACUCAUCCACACCAGCAAGCUGGUGCUUCAGCGUUCGACUUGCAUGUGUUAAGCACGCCGCCAGCGUUCGUCCUGAGCCAGGAUCAAACU
Molecule: ribosomal RNA, 488 nt
Filed under: uncultured Kocuria sp.
Lineage: Bacteria; Bacillati; Actinomycetota; Actinomycetes; Micrococcales; Micrococcaceae
Description: partial 16S ribosomal RNA
Source: RNAcentral